Molecule: ribosomal RNA, 291 nt
Filed under: uncultured eukaryote
Lineage: Eukaryota
Description: partial 18S ribosomal RNA
Rfam family: Eukaryotic small subunit ribosomal RNA
Source: RNAcentral
GGUUGAUCCUGCCAGUAGUCAUAUGCUUGUUUCAAAGAUUAAGCCAUGCAAGUCUAAGUAUAAGUCUUUAUAUGAUGAAACUGCGAAUAGCUCAUUAGAACACUUAUAAAUAACACGGUAAAUAAUUUCUAUAUGGAUAUCCAUGGUAAUUCUGGAGUUAAUACAUGCGUAAAGGUUUGUUUACAAACUGUCAGCCAUGAAAUCUCAUCAACUGGCUUGCCAAUUGAAUGAAUCAUGUGGAUUUGAGAAUCGCGUUUCUGCGAUAGACCGUAUUAGUUUGUGACCUAUCAG